Molecule: ribosomal RNA, 468 nt
Filed under: uncultured bacterium
Lineage: Bacteria
Description: partial 16S ribosomal RNA
Rfam family: Bacterial small subunit ribosomal RNA
Source: RNAcentral
GACGAACGCUGGCGGCGUGCUUAACACAUGCAAGUCGAACGGAAAGGCCCUGCUUUUGUGGGGUGCUCGAGUGGCGAACGGGUGAGUAACACGUGAGUAACCUGCCCUUGACUUUGGGAUAACUUCAGGAAACUGGGGCUAAUACCGGAUAGGAGCUCCUGCUGCAUGGUGGGGGUUGGAAAGUUUCGGCGGUUGGGGAUGGACUCGCGGCUUAUCAGCUUGUUGGUGGGGUAGUGGCUUACCAAGGCUUUGACGGGUAGCCGGCCUGAGAGGGUGACCGGCCCCAUUGGGGCGGGGGUUCCGCCCCGACCCCUCCGGGAGGCAGCAGUGGGGAAUAUUGCACAAUGGGCGGAAGCCUGAUGCAGCAACGCCGCGUGCGGGAUGACGGCCUUCGGGUUGUAAACCGCUUUCGCCUGUGACGAAGCGUGAGUGACGGUAAUGGGUAAAGAAGCACCGGCUAACUACGUG